Molecule: long non-coding RNA, 1378 nt
Organism: Podarcis raffonei (Aeolian wall lizard)
Lineage: Eukaryota; Metazoa; Chordata; Lepidosauria; Squamata; Lacertidae
Exons: 2
Source: RefSeq, a predicted model, not a curated record
AACUUUGCUUCAGGAUGAGAACAGAAAUCGUUCUCCGGUGGCGUGGCAGCAGCAGGAGGCCCCAUUAGCUAAAAUGGUGCUUCAGGUUAAGAACAGUUUCAGGUUAAGUACAGACCUCCGGAACGAAUUAAGUACUUAACCCGAGCUACCACUGUAAGUGGGCCACGUAGCAGCAGUGGACAGGGGAGAAAGCAAAAAAGGCACGUUUGGGCGACAGAGGGCUAUGCACUGCAGUGUCUUUACUCCCAAACACAGGGUAUCAUAUAUAUAUUUUAGGGGUGGGGGACGGACACAGGUAUUGUCCCUGCCUAGAAUUACAACAGGAAGCAGCUAUCGCCCAAAGUGCAUGGGCAACAGAGCUCAGGAUCUGAAGUGCUGGUAAGCUCCUGCUAAACCCAAGCCGUAGGACCUGUGUUGGCAUUGAAGAAACCCAGCCAGUCCCCUCCAUAAGGGCCACCUUGUGCCCCCUUUGGAGGCAGAGGGGGAAUUAAAGCUCAGCAGUAUAGAUCGCAUUUGGGAAAAACUCCUUCCCAAGACCCUGGGAAGCUGAUGUCAGGCAGCGCAGAGUAGGCAAGAAGCAGCCAUUUUAGAAACUGGCGCCGCGACCUAGCCGACACCUGGUCGGAGGCAGGGGGCCGAGGAGCAACGUGUUGGGAUUAUAAGCUUCUUUGCUCAGUAAUUAAAUUUAAUUAAAAACCAAAGAAAUAUGACACCGAGUUUUCCUUUUCUCCCACCUCCAAGACCCUGCGAUUGCAGUUUUAAUUUAUAUUGCUGCAACAGCAGGGAGGCGAGGGAGGAAGCACGGAAUAUGGAAUCGACGGCAAAGUUUUCCAACUGCAAGAAAGGUGGCUUUGAGAUUAGAAAGAGCUUGCAGGAGCGACGGGAGAAAAUGGCUCUUUUUGGGAUACGGGACCAAGACGAUAUUGGUAGAAUACGCCGUAUCCGCCUGCCUAGUAGAGAUGCCUGGGACAGUUCCUUAUAACAACAGGAGUUUUGAGUUGCGUAUUCUGAUAAAGGAAGCAUAUAGCCCAACACUCUGGAAGCACACAAGAGAGUUUCCAAGAUUGCAGUACAGCCGGGUCUCACAAUUAACGUUAUAUCUCAUGCAUGUCUUAAAUAGAGCAGCCACAGUUGCUUCCUUUAAACCCUACUCCUUUAAAAAAAAAAAAGGCAUCUAUUCCCAAGUUAUUCCCAAAUUAUUCCCAAGUUGUUGGGGGGUUUUGCGCUAUUUGGCACCUACCUCCGUGGGUUCAUUGUAGUAUGAAGUCCAUUCGGAAAUGUCGUGCGAUUCCAUCUUGACAGAGCCCAGCAUUCCAAAAUCCCAGUAAGAAAGGGGGGGAAGGGAAUCUUGCGAGCGCACACUAAUUUUAAAAUUUUU